CACGUAGGGUGCGAGCGUUGUCCGGAAUUAUUGGGCGUAAAGAGCUCGUAGGCGGUGUGUCGCGUCGGCCGUGAAAACCUGCAGCUUAACUGUGGGCUUGCGGUCGAUACGGGCAUCACUGGAGUUCGGCAGGGGAGACUGGAAUUCCUGGUGUAGCGGUGAAAUGCGCAGAUAUCAGGAGGAACACCGGUGGCGAAGGCGAGUCUCUGGGCCGAUACUGACGCUGAGGAGCGAAAGCGUGGGGAGCGAACAGG
This 254-nucleotide ribosomal RNA is filed under the name uncultured bacterium. Its description in RNAcentral is "partial 16S ribosomal RNA". It matches the Rfam family "Bacterial small subunit ribosomal RNA", at positions 524 to 776 of the family's 1533-position model. The record is from RNAcentral.